CUACGGGUUGCACCAGUGGAGAAUAUUGCACAAUGGGCGCAAGCCUGAUGCAGCCAUGCCGCGUGUAUGAAGAAGGCCUUCGGGUUGUAAAGUACUUUCAGCGGGGAGGAAGGGAGUAAAGUUAAUACCUUUGCUCAUUGACGUUACCCGCAGAAGAAGCACCGGCUAACUCCGUGCCAGCAGCCGCGGUAAUACGGAGGGUGCAAGCGUUAAUCGGAAUUACUGGGCGUAAAGCGCACGCAGGCGGUUUGUUAAGUCAGAUGUGAAAUCCCCGGGCUCAACCUGGGAACUGCAUCUGAUACUGGCAAGCUUGAGUCUCGUAGAGGGAGGUAGAAUUCCAGGUGUAGCGGUGAAAUGCGUAGAGAUCUGGAGGAAUACCGGUGGCGAAGGCGGCCCCCUGGACGAAGACUGACGCUCAGGUGCGAAAGCGUGGGGAGCAAACAGGAUUAGAUACCCGUGUAGUC
This 464-nucleotide ribosomal RNA is filed under the name uncultured bacterium. RNAcentral's name for it is "partial 16S ribosomal RNA". It matches the Rfam family "Bacterial small subunit ribosomal RNA", at positions 339 to 795 of the family's 1533-position model. The record is from RNAcentral.